CGUAAACCGUGAAGUAGAAUAUAGCUUAAUGAAUACAUUUUAUUUCUGACUUGCAUGGGAUCAACGCUAAACUGAACUGAUUCGUUAUUUAAACCAUGUUCCUGACUCCCCUGCGAGGAUGCUUUGGCUUCUUUUGUGCUUCGCGGAUGCUCUUGUUGUGGCCUCAUUUGAAGUGAUUGUCACUGAUAAGCAUCUGCUGGCAAUCCGGGGUGGUUCAGCUGUACUGGGCUGUGUGUUCACACCUGAUCCUGACCUCUCCAACUUGGUGGUUACCUGGCAACGAUCGGAGGACUCGCAGGUUGUCCACAGUUUCUAUUAUCAGCAGGACCAAUUGGACAGACAGAGUCCAGAAUUCCACAAUCGGACGUCACUUUUUAUUUCAGAGCUUCAUAAAGGAAAUGCCUCUCUUAGAAUUGCAGAAGUUAGACCAAAGGAUGCAGGCUUGUACCUGUGCAUAGUGAGCAAUGCAAAGGGAACAGGAAAAGCCUCGAUGAAAGUGACUUAUGGAGCUCUUUACUCUGAGCCCAGGUUAAGCAUGCAUGUAAACUCCUCUGCAUUGACAGUGCAGUUUGAGACGGAGGGAUUCCCCAAACCUGAGGUGAUCUGGCUGGACGAACAUGGCCAGAACCUCAACUAUCACCUGGAGCUCCAUGACCAGACAGAAGAUGGGCUUUAUUUAGUCAAGAGCAGCUAUGAAGCCCAGAAGCCGGCGGUUAAUGUCACAUUUACGCUAAAGAACCACCUCCUGAACCAGAACCUUCAGAGACCCGUGUUCCUCAGCUAUGGAAUUGGCCUAUUGAAGUCACACCAACAGAACACAUUUUAAAUGUCUCCCUUUUCUGACCCAUCAAUUUGAGCUCUUGGAGUCUGUACUACCAGCUGCAUCUUUUUCUCUACACAUUGGUCCACACUAAGAUAAACUAUAUAAUGUGAAAGGAAUCAUAUCUUUCUGAAAUGCAUGCACAGUAAGGUGGAUAGAUAAGGACAAAACUGCAAAUCAAGGCACCAUCGCUCUUGUCCUGUCCGUGGUUUGCGUUUUUCUGGUCAUUGCUAUAAUUUGGUUU
RNA transcript from Rhinichthys klamathensis goyatoka, 1064 nucleotides. RefSeq lists it as uncharacterized. NCBI's taxonomy places the organism in Eukaryota, Metazoa, Chordata, Actinopteri, Cypriniformes, Leuciscidae. The transcript has 5 exons. The record is from RefSeq and is a predicted model, not a curated record.